RNAcentral lists this long non-coding RNA (496 nucleotides) under Phoenix dactylifera (date palm). RNAcentral describes it as "long non-coding RNA (PDAC_LNC018692)". Lineage: Eukaryota; Viridiplantae; Streptophyta; Magnoliopsida; Arecales; Arecaceae. The record is from RNAcentral.
AAAAACACGAUAAUUAUAGGAUUAAAAUAGCAAUGGGAAAAUAUUGGACAAGAAACAUGAAAAAUGUAUGUCAAUUAAAAGAAUGCAAGACCAGGAAUGCUAUGAUGAAAAGUUUCAAAUUACUGUGCAUAAGUGCAUUGGGAUAGAAGUAAUACAGAGCAACUAUAUGUUUAACAAAAGAGAAAAUAGGACUUUCAGGGAACAAAAGAGAAAAUAGGACGUUCAGGGAACAAAAGAGAAAAUAGGACUUUCAGGGAAAAAGCAAAUCAUACUGACCCUCUAAAGAAAUUCUAAGAGGCUCAAUAAACUCAGGGUAUUCAAUUUCUUCAAGUGCCUUGAUAACAUCCUCUGCAUUGAUUGUUUGCCUAUUCGAUUCCUUGCAAAUGUCGUUUGCACUGCACAAAAUUACGAUUCUGAAGUCAGCUCACAACACCUCAUAACCUAUCCAGUAACAACAAUUUUUCACAGAAACAAAAUUGAAAUAAUUGAAUCAACG